RNAcentral lists this long non-coding RNA (573 nucleotides) under Brassica rapa (field mustard). RNAcentral describes it as "long non-coding RNA (BRAP_LNC006594)". The record is from RNAcentral. Lineage: Eukaryota; Viridiplantae; Streptophyta; Magnoliopsida; Brassicales; Brassicaceae.
AGCUUCAGUAAAGAGGUGGGAUGCUUUGUUCGUGUCGAAAGAAGUUCUCUGGAUCAACCUUUGUUUUAAUCUUCACCAACCUAUUGAAAUUGUCUUUGAAGUACUUUGCUCCCCAGACUUGAGCUUGUUUGAGGCUUGUCUUUAAGUUGUUGUUCUGUCCCAGGUCUAGAUCUCUGUAGUUCACAUAUGCUUGUCUUGGAUUGCUUGAGACAUAAGGCGUCAUGUAAUUGUACAACUCCCUGAUCCAUUUGAUACGCAUGUCUGGUCUCUUCUCGGUGUCUGACCAGCUCCUAUAAUACAGAAUCAUGAAGCUGGUUCCGCUUCUAUGCGGAAACGGGAUCUCAGAUUCAGGGAUUUUAUCCAUCAUUCCACCGUAUGGAGUCCAUAUCAUUACUGCAGCUUCUUCUUCAAGAAUCUUCUUGAUCAUCCCUUUAAGACCUAAAACAGGAAUCGGUUCUUUAGCGAAGUCUGAUUUGGCUUUGAAGUAAACUUCUCCAAGAGGUGACUUUGCUUGAAGCAAAACCUCAGGAGGAGGAGGAGUGGUAGUUGAGAAUCCAGAGCUGUACAUGAUGG